UGGGGAAUUUUGGACAAUGGGCGCAAGCCUGAUCCAGCCAUGCCGCGUGCGGGAAGAAGGCCUUCGGGUUGUAAACCGCUUUUGUCAGGGAAGAAAUCUUCUGAGUUAAUACCUCGGGAGGAUGACGGUACCUGAAGAAUAAGCACCGGCUAACUACGUGCCAGCAGCCGCGGUAAUACGUAGGGUGCAAGCGUUAAUCGGAAUUACUGGGCGUAAAGCGUGCGCAGGCGGUUUUGUAAGACAGAGGUGAAAUCCCCGGGCUCAACCUGGGAACUGCCUUUGUGACUGCAAGGCUUGAGUGCGGCAGAGGGGGAUGGAAUUCCGCGUGUAGCAGUGAAAUGCGUAGAUAUGCGGAGGAACACCGAUGGCGAAGGCAAUCCCCUGGGCCUGCACUGACGCUCAUGCACGAAAGCGUGGGGAGCAAACAGGAUUAGAUACCCUGGUAGUCCACGCCCUAAACGAUGUCAACUGGUUGUUGGGAAGGUUCCUUCUCAGUAACGUAGCUAACGCGUGAAGUUGACCGCCUGGGGAGUACGGCCGCAAGGUUGAAACUCAAAUGAAUUGACGGGGUCAUAGCUGUUUCC
RNAcentral lists this ribosomal RNA (584 nucleotides) under uncultured bacterium. Its description in RNAcentral is "partial 16S ribosomal RNA". It matches the Rfam family "Bacterial small subunit ribosomal RNA", at positions 355 to 937 of the family's 1533-position model. The record is from RNAcentral.